RNAcentral lists this transfer RNA (77 nucleotides) under Alphaproteobacteria bacterium CG1_02_46_17. RNAcentral's name for it is "tRNA-Asp". It matches the Rfam family "tRNA". From Rfam's summary of the family: Transfer RNA (tRNA) molecules are approximately 80 nucleotides in length. Their secondary structure includes four short double-helical elements and three loops (D, anti-codon, and T loops). The record is from RNAcentral. RNAcentral also lists the same sequence under 2 other names. Lineage: Bacteria; Pseudomonadati; Pseudomonadota; Alphaproteobacteria.
GCGGACGUAGUUCAGUUGGUUAGAAUGCCUGCCUGUCACGCAGGAGGUCGCGGGUUCAAGUCCCGUCGUUCGCGCCA